CAAUCUCGGCUGAAUGAGAUGGGUCCCAGAGCAGGGAGAGCUGGGCUGCAGUUUGCAUUGCCACACCAGUAACUGCCCGGCUCUCUCGCGCUUCAAGGUCCUCCGCCACACUGGGAGCAGCGAUGGUGGAGGUAACGUUGUGUGUGAAUGGCUAGUUUUUCGGCCACAGUCCUGCCUCUGGGUCUGUCAGCUGUUGAAGCUCAACUCGAGGACAGAGAGACACGAGCAGGUUUGCAACGUAUGAGAACUUGGUCUGAGUCCGGUUCAUCUCCGCCACGGAUCGCACCAAAAUCAGAGAUGAUCAGCCAGACGUCUGCAGGUUGUCUCAGGAGCGAUUCAGAAGGCCUGCAGGGCUGCUGGAGUGAGUGCAGCACCACAGAGAAAGACUGUGGGCUGUGGCUCCAGCCCAGGUGCAUGACCACUCACCACAAGUGCCGAGUACCAUACAGGGCUUCACCAUUGCCCGUGCUUCAGUUUUCGGUCUGUAAACUGGAAGCAAGGCCUCAAACCAGCAACAAGUGGGAUGUGCUGGAAUAUUCAGUUACGGAUGAAUUUACAUUUGAUUGUGCGUAA
Molecule: long non-coding RNA, 573 nt
Filed under: Oryzias sinensis (Chinese medaka)
Lineage: Eukaryota; Metazoa; Chordata; Actinopteri; Beloniformes; Adrianichthyidae
Description: lncRNA (ENSOSIG00000019621.1)
Source: RNAcentral